AUCAUUCUAGAUACACUUUCCAGUACAUCUACUUUGUUACGACUUAUCUUUCUUUAAAAGAAAGAGUGACGGGCGAUGUGUACAUGUUUUAGAACUAAAAUCAUAAUAAUUAUUUUAUUAAUAUUACUAUUAAAUCCACCUUUAAAAUUAUAUUCCAAUAAUUUAUCCGUAUAAAUUAAUUUAUUGUAACCCAUUUCUACUAAACUAUAAACUGCACCUUGAUCUGAAAUAAAAUUUUAUAAAAAUUAUUGAAUAUUAUUCUCUUAUAAGAUAAUCUGAUAACGACGGUAUACAAACUUAAUAAAUUCAGUAAAAUUUAACGUGGUUUAUCAAUUACAGAACAGGUUCCUCUAAAUAGAUUAAAACACCGCCAAAUUUUUUAAGUUUCAAGAAUAUAUCUAUUACUACCUAAGUCUUUAAAAUUUACAUUCUAUAUAAUAGGGUAUCUAAUCCUAGUUUAUUAUCAAAAUUUAAUAGCCUAAUUUAUUAAAAAAUAAAAUAUUAUAUAAAUUCUAAUUUAACCUAAAAAUUAAUUUUUUUUUUAAUUUAAAUAAAUUAACUAUAAACUAAUAAAAUUUAUUUUCAUAAUAUGUAUAACCGCAGAUGCUGGCACAAAUUUAUCCUAUAAUAAAAUUUAUUACUAAAUCAAAAUUUCUUUUAUAUAUAAUAUUAAAUACUGCGUUUAAAUAUUUAUAUUUUUUAAAAAUAAUAUAUAUCCAUACAACAAUUUACAUGUAAGUCAUAAAUUAAAUAAAUUUUGAGCUAAAAUAAAACUU
This 776-nucleotide ribosomal RNA is filed under the name Neuronema laminatum. RNAcentral describes it as "12S ribosomal RNA". The record is from RNAcentral. Lineage: Eukaryota; Metazoa; Arthropoda; Insecta; Neuroptera; Hemerobiidae.